RNAcentral lists this ribosomal RNA (497 nucleotides) under uncultured bacterium. RNAcentral describes it as "partial 16S ribosomal RNA". It matches the Rfam family "Bacterial small subunit ribosomal RNA", at positions 28 to 507 of the family's 1533-position model. The record is from RNAcentral.
GAUGAACGCUGGCGGCGUGCCUAAUACAUGCAAGUCGAGCGAACGGACGAGAAGCUUGCUUCUCUGAUGUUAGCGGCGGACGGGUGAGUAACACGUGGAUAACCUACCUAUAAGACUGGGAUAACUUCGGGAAACCGGAGCUAAUACCGGAUGAUAUUUUGAACCGCAUGGUUCAAAAGUGAAAGACGGUCUUGCUGUCACUUAUAGAUGGAUCCGCGCUGCAUUAGCUAGUUGGUAAGGUAACGGCUUACCAAGGCAACGAUGCAUAGCCGACCUGAGAGGGUGAUCGGCCACACUGGAACUGAGGCACGGUCCAGACUCCUACGGGAGGCAGCAGUAGGGAAUCUUGCGCAAUGGGCGAAAGCCUGACGGAGCAACGCCGCGUGAGUGAUGAAGGUCUUCGGAUCGUAAAACUCUGUUAUUAGGGAAGAACAUAUGUGUAAGUAACUGUGCACAUCUUGACGGUACCUAAUCAGAAAGCCACGGCUAACUACGUG